This 1446-nucleotide ribosomal RNA is filed under the name uncultured Bordetella sp. RNAcentral's name for it is "partial 16S-23S ribosomal RNA intergenic spacer". It matches the Rfam family "Bacterial small subunit ribosomal RNA". Lineage: Bacteria; Pseudomonadati; Pseudomonadota; Betaproteobacteria; Burkholderiales; Alcaligenaceae. The record is from RNAcentral.
GGCUUGAUCCGUUCAGAUUGUUGAACGCUGGUUAAGGAUGCUUUACACAUGCAGUCAACGGCAGCACGGACUUCGGUCUGGUGGCGAGUAAGAAACGGGGUGAGUAAUGUAUCGGAACGUGCCUAGUAGCGGGGAGAACUACGCGAAAGAAGCAUUACUGCAAAUGCCACUUCUGGGGAAAGCGGGGGACCUUCGGGCCUCGCACUAUUAGAGCGGCCGAUAUCGGAUUAGCUGCCAGGUGGUAAUCGGCUCACCAAGUUAUGACGAUCCAGCUGGUCGAGACACCCAGCCACACUGGGACGAGACACGCCCAGACUCCUACGGGAGGCAGCAGUGGGGAAUUCUUGGACAAUGGGAAACCUGAUCCAGCCAUCCCGCGUGCGAUGAAGGCUCGGGUUGUAAAGCACUUUUAAGAGAGAAACGGCAUCGAUAAUACCCCGUGCAACUGACGGUACCUGCAGAAUAAGCACCGGCUAACUACGUGCCAGCAGCCAGUAGAAUACGCGUAGGGUGCAAGCGUUAAUCGGAAUUACUGGGCGUAAAGCGUGCGCAGGCGGUUCGGAAAGAAAGAUGGGAAAUCCCAGAGCUUAACUUUGAAACUACUUUUAAUCUACCGAGCUAGAGUGUGUCAGAGGAGGUGGAAUUCCGCGUGUAGCAGUGAAAUGCGUAGAUAUGCGGAGGAACACCGAUGGCGAAGGCAGCCUCCUGAUAACACCGACGCUCAUGCACGAAAGUGUGGGGAGCAAAACAGGAUUAGAUAUUCUGGUAGUCCACGCCCUAAACGAUGUCACCGAUACAAAUGGGCCUUGGUAGCGGUGCUAACGCAGGAAGCGAAUACCUGGGGAGUACGGUCGCAAGAUUAAAACUCAAAGGAAUUGACGGGGACCCGCACAGGAAAGCGGUGGAUGAUGUGAUUUAAUUCGAUGCAAAUGUUAGCGAAAACCUUACCUACCCUUGACAUGCUGAAUCCCGAAGAGAUUUGGUGCUCGCAAGAGAACCGGUUACAGGUGUUGCAUGGCUGUCGUCAGCUCGUGUCGUGAGAUGUUGGGUUGUCCCAACGAGCGCAACCCUUGUCAUUAGUUGCUACGAAAGGGUACUCUAUCGAGACUGCCAGACAAACCGGAGGAAGGUGGGGCUGACGUCAAGUCCAUACUAUGGUAGGGGCUUCACACGUCAUACAAUUGUCGGGACAGAGGGUCGCCAACCCGCGAGGGGACAAUCCCAGAAACCCGAUCGUAGUCUGAUCGUAGUCUGCAACUCGACUGCGUGGAAGUUGGAAUCGCUAGUAAUCGCGGAUCAGCAUGUCGCGUAGUGAACAUGUUCCUGGGUCUUGUACACACCUGCCCGUCACACCAUGGAGUGGGGUUUUACCAGAAGUAGUUAGCUCAACUGGUAGGGCGAUUACCACGGUAGGGAUUCAUGACUAAAGUGAAUGUAACAAGGCAA